GCACGAGCUAGACAGGCGUAACCGCGACGGCUCAUUACAACAGCUAUAAUCUACUCGGUCUUGAACAGUUACUCGGAUAACUGUGGUAAUUCUAGAGCUAAUACGUGCACCGAGGCUGCUCCUCGCGGGGCAGUGCAUUUGUUGGAGCAAAACCAGGCGGCUUCGGCCGUUUUUGCUGACUCAGAACAACUCAGCUGAUCGCAUGGGCUUGUCCCGGCGACGUACCGUCCGAGUGUCUGCCUUAUCAACUUUCGAUGGUAGUGUACGUGACUACCAUGGUUGUGACGGGUAACGGAGGAUAAGGGUUCGACUCCGGAGAAGGGGCCUGAGAAAUGGCCACUACGUCUAAGGAUGGCAGCAGGCGCGCAAAUUACCCACUCUCGGUUCGAGGAGGUAGUGACGAAAAAUAACAAGGCUGUUCUCUACGAGGCCAGCCAUUGGAAUGGGUACAACACAAACCCUUUAACGAGUAUCAAUGAGAGGGCAAGUCUGGUGCCAGCAGCCGCGGUAAUUCCAGCUCUCAAAAUGCAUAGAACCAUUGCUGCGGUUAAAAAGCUCGUAGUUGGAUCUGUGCCGGCGACGUGGUCCACCCUAACGGGCGGUACUGCGCUCGUCGGCUUUGGGCCGGUCUUCGUGCGGUGGCCUUCACUGGUCGCCGUCCGUGGCUGGCUGGUUUACUUUGAGCAAAUCAGAGUGCUCAGCACAGGCGUUUCGCCGGAAUGUUCGUGCAUGGAAUAAUAGAAAAGGAUUUCGGUCCUCUUUUAUUGGUUUUGUGGACUGAGAUAAUGGUUAACAGAGACGAACGGGGGCAUUCGUAUUGCUGCGUGAGAGGUGAAAUUCUUGGACCGCAGCAGGACGGACUACAGCGAAAGCAUUUGCCAAGCGCGUCUUCAUUAAUCAAGAACGAAAGUCAGAGGUUCGAAGGCGAUCAGAUACCGCCCUAGUUCUGACCGUAAACGAUGCCAACUAGCGAUCCGACGGCGGCUUUCAGGCCCUGUUGGGGAGCUUCCCGGAAACGAAAGUCUUCCGGUUCCGGGGGAAGUAUGGUUGCAAAGCUGAAACUUAAAGGAAUUGACGGAAGGGCACCACCAGGAGUGGAGCCUGCGGCUUAAUUUGACUCAACACGGGAAAACUCACCCGGCCCGGACACCGUGAGGAUUGACAGAUUGAUAGCUUUUUCAUGAUUCGGUGGUUGGUGGUGCAUGGCCGUUCUUAGUUCGUGGAUCGAUUUGUCUGGUUUAUUCCGAUAACGAGCGAGACUCCAGCCUACUAACUAGUGCGGGCGUUGUCUCUGCGCUUGUCACUUCUUAGAGGGAUUGGCUGCGCCUAGCGGCACGAAACGGAGCAAUAACAGGUCUGUGAUGCCCUUAGAUGUCCGGGGCUGCACGCGCGCUACACUGGCAAAGGCAGCGUGCUUGUCCGCCUCCGAAAGGAGCCGGUAAACCCUUGAAAAUUUGCCGUGAUUGGGAUCGGAAAUUGCAAUUAUUUUCCGUGAACGAGGAAUUCCUAGUAAGUGCGAGUCAUCAGCUCGCGUUGAUUACGUCCCUGCCCUUUGUACACACCGCCCGUCGCUGCCUAGAACUGAGCCAUUUCGAGAAUAUUCGGGAUCGCUGGUUGCGGGCCUUUCGGGGCACGCCUCUGCAAGAGAACGAACGUAAUCGCAUAUCGGC
RNAcentral lists this ribosomal RNA (1670 nucleotides) under Hemicriconemoides chitwoodi. Its description in RNAcentral is "SSU rRNA". It matches the Rfam family "Eukaryotic small subunit ribosomal RNA". The record is from RNAcentral. Lineage: Eukaryota; Metazoa; Nematoda; Chromadorea; Rhabditida; Criconematidae.